RNAcentral lists this ribosomal RNA (974 nucleotides) under Acidobacteriota bacterium. Its description in RNAcentral is "Acidobacteria bacterium partial 23S ribosomal RNA". It matches the Rfam family "Bacterial large subunit ribosomal RNA", at positions 1957 to 2925 of the family's 2925-position model. The record is from RNAcentral. Lineage: Bacteria; Pseudomonadati; Acidobacteriota.
UAGCGAAAUUCCUUGUCGGGUAAGUUCCGACCUGCACGAAUGGCGUAACGAUGGCGGCGCUGUCUCCACCCGAGACUCAGUGAAAUUGAAAUCGCUGUGAAGAUGCAGUGUAUCCGCGGCUAGACGGAAAGACCCCGUGAACCUUUACUAUAGCUUUGCACUGGACUUUGAAUUUGCUUGUGUAGGAUAGGUGGGAGGCUUUGAAGUGGGGACGCCAGUUCUCAUGGAGCCAUCCUUGAAAUACCACCCUGGCAACUUUGAGGUUCUAACUCAGGUCCGUUAUCCGGAUCGAGGACAGUGUAUGGUGGGUAGUUUGACUGGGGCGGUCUCCUCCCAAAGAGUAACGGAGGAGUACGAAGGUGCGCUCAGACCGGUCGGAAAUCGGUCGUAGAGUAUAAAGGCAAAAGCGCGCUUGACUGCGAGACACACACGUCGAGCAGGUACGAAAGUAGGUCUUAGUGAUCCGGUGGUUCUGUAUGGAAGGGCCAUCGCUCAACGGAUAAAAGGUACUCCGGGGAUAACAGGCUGAUACCGCCCAAGAGUUCACAUCGACGGCGGUGUUUGGCACCUCGAUGUCGGCUCAUCACAUCCUGGGGCUGAAGUAGGUCCCAAGGGUAUGGCUGUUCGCCAUUUAAAGUGGUACGCGAGCUGGGUUUAGAACGUCGUGAGACAGUUCGGUCCCUAUCUGCCGUGGGCGUUGGAAGAUUGAAGGGGGCUGCUCCUAGUACGAGAGGACCGGAGUGGACGAACCUCUGGUGUUCCGGUUGUCACGCCAGUGGCAUUGCCGGGUAGCUAUGUUCGGAAGAGAUAACCGCUGAAAGCAUCUAAGCGGGAAACUUGCCUCAAGAUGAGAUCUCACUGGGAUCUUGAAUCCCCUAAAGGGCCGUCGAAGACUACGACGUUGAUAGGUUGGGUGUGUAAGCGCUGUGAGGCGUUGAGCUAACCAAUACUAAUUGCCCGUGAGGCUUGACCAU